Molecule: transfer RNA, 71 nt
Filed under: Bornetia secundiflora
Lineage: Eukaryota; Rhodophyta; Florideophyceae; Ceramiales; Wrangeliaceae
Description: tRNA-Cys
Rfam family: tRNA
About the family: Transfer RNA (tRNA) molecules are approximately 80 nucleotides in length.
Source: RNAcentral
GGCGGCAUAGCUAAGUGGUAAGGCAGAGGAUUGCAAAUUCUUUAUCCCCAGUUCGAAUCUGGGUGCCGCCU